This is a long non-coding RNA of Papio anubis (olive baboon), 3229 nucleotides long. The record is from Ensembl. Lineage: Eukaryota; Metazoa; Chordata; Mammalia; Primates; Cercopithecidae.
AUGGAUCAUGAGGACGAGCGGGGAAGGGUCUGCCCGCUGAGCAGAUUACAUAACAAAUAUCCGAGGGAGAAGGGGGAGAACGCAGGCUGGUGUCAGGACUGCCGGAGCCUCCGGCAAGCACAAAACAACAGCCUGUCUAUGGAGAGAACCGGAGCAAGGAAACAGGCGCUGACCCCUCAGCUUCCUCAGAGCACACCCUACACUGGAUGGGACCUGCUGGGCACUGCAGCCGGAGAUGUAACUGGCACCAGGAACCUCCCUUCAUCUUGUCCCUGUCCCACAGCUCUUCACCCGUGGGUGUCUUUUUGCCGACUGGUCUGAUUACUGACGAGAAUCUGGUGAUUGGGGAUGAAAGAAGUUCGGGUCUCCUCUACACGUCUGUUUUCUUCCUGCUUCCUUUCUUGCCUUCUGCCUCCUCCUCCUCCUCCCAUGUCUUUCCAGCAAAGCACAGGAUACCCAGAUGGCUUGGGCCAGGCUGAAGGCACAGCCGUAGCCAGCAACCAGUCACCCGAGCCCUGCUGCCUUCGGCCCCUGCCGGCCCAGCCAGUGCGGGUCCCUGCUGCCUGGUGCCCACCCCGCCCGCCCGGCAGCUCCGAUUUUCAGCUUGGGUUUGAUCGGCUGCCAGGAUCUCCCAAAUGUCAGCUGCAACGUUAGCAUCUUUAAGAGAGCGCCCGAGGCGAUCUUUAAGCUGGGAGGCUGGGCCCCAUGCUGAUGAGAGGAGUCUGCUCCGAGCUGACAGCUCUGCCUCCUGCCUUCCCGGCCUUGGUUCUGGGGGCCUGUGGCCCCCAUUCUUCGGGCUGGACAGCAGCAAGACUCUUUUUUGAACCUGGGUGAAGCAGGGCUUUGCCAGCUGAGAUCAGUCCCUACAGCAGCCCCCACCAGGGAGCCCCAAGAAGGAGGGGAGAGGCCUAACCCAGAGAGGGAGUGGAUACAUAUUUGUUAACCGAAUGGCUGCAUGAACCUCCAAAGCUGCCUUAGAGGCGAGUGCUGACGGCGCUUUCUGCCCUGCCAUCACCUUCAGGAGGAGAUACUCAGGGUGGGGACAUGGGCAAAGGUGCCCAACUCUGGCUAGGGGCCUGGGCCAGUGUCCCAGAUCUAGCACGUGGGAGCUGUGUGACCUUGGAGAAGUUGCCAGCCCUCUCUGAGCCUCAGCUUUCCCAUCAGUGAAAAUGUGGGCUAGGGGAUAGAAUGCCAGAAUGCCAGCUGCGUAGAGUUGUUGGGGAAUCCAGGGAGAUGAAGAGAUAGGAACACCUGCUACCUUGCAGACACAUAGUAGGUACUCAAGGAAGUCAGUCCUUUCCUCUUCCCCCUCCUCCCUUCCCUCUUCCCCCUCCUCCCUUCCCUCUUCCCCCUCCCCCAGGGCUUUUUUUUUUUUUUUUGAGAUGGAGUCUCGCUCUGUCACCCAGGCUGGAGUGCAGUGGCCGAUCUCAGCUCACUGCAAGCUCCUCACCCGGUUUACACCAUUCUCCUGCUCCUUCAGCCUCCCGAGUAGCUGGGACUACAGCUCACCACCUCGGCCCCUGGCUAGUUUUUUGUAUUUUUUAGUAGAGACGGGUUUCACCAGCACAGGGAUGGUCUCUCGAUCUCCUGACCUCUGAUCCACUGCCUCGGCCUCCCAAAGUGCUGGGAUUACAGGCUUGAGCCACCGCGCCCCGCCCCCCCCAGGGCUUUCUAUUCCCUGUCACUGAAGGGCUGAAGGGCUGUCACUGUCUGAAGCCUCCAUGUUUUCCCCUCCAACCCUCAGAAGGACAAGGGCGAUGAUUCUUACUCUCUGUUGUCCAGGGCCACACAGCAGGUCGGAAGCAGAUGUGGAGGCUGCCCAGUUCCAGACCAGCUUGUCCUGCUAGUGCCUGGUCCCAGGACUGGCUCAAGUGCCCAUGGCAUGCUCCCCUGUGCCCUGCUAAUCGUUGUCCCUUUGCAGGGUGGUGAGGCUCUGGGAGUGAGCUAGUGGCUUGUUCUUUUUCCACAUUUUUGAGGCCUCUCUCGGGACUGAAAUACCCAGGUGGAGAAGUGAGUGACUCGGGAAAGGAAGGAAGGCAAAGAACCCAGAGUCUAAUUCCCACCCAAGUGGAGGUGAGGCGGGAAGGAGGGGGCGCUUGAACCUCUUACGUGGGAGUUGCAGCCUUGGUGGGACCUGUCAGAACUGGUGUGCUAAGCCAGGGGUGGGAGUCGGUGACUUCCACAGGGACAGCAUCAGCAGCCAGCUCACAGAAGCAUAUGUUUCAGAACCAAAAGGUGUAGGAGCAAGGCUCAGAAUAAAGAUAAAAUGAAUGGAUGGUGGGCGGGUGGUAGGUGGAUGGAUGGAAACGUGUGGAUUGAGACUGGGUGAAUGGGUGAUGGUUGGCUGGAUGGAUGGAUGAUGGAUGUGUGGGUGAAUGGAGGGUGGAUGGCUAUAUGAGUGGGUGGUGAGUGGAUGAGUGUGUGGGUGAGUGCACAAAUAGGUGGAUGGAUGGGUAGAUGGAUGGAUGGAUGAGUAGAUGGAUGGAGGAUGGAUGGAUGGAUGGAUGGACGAGUGGAGGGUAGAUGACUAUAUGGGUAUGGUGGAGUGGAAGGAAGAGCAUGGAGCCAGAAUGGAGCCAUAGUGGAACGGAAUAUGGAAAUGCCCAUAAUGGAAUGGCUGGAACGCAUGGAUAAAUGGCAGAGACCAUCUUGCGGCCGGGGUGGAUUCUAAUCCUAGUUCUCACACUUGGUUCUGUGGGAUCUAAAGCAAGUCACCACGCCUCCCUAAGUCUUAUUUUUUUCUAUCUGAAAACAGAUAUAACAGCAGCAUUCACCUUCUAUGAUAGCCAGGAGGCCCCAUGAUAAAAUGCAUGUGGGUCUGGCAUGGUGGCUCAUGCCUAUAAUCCCAAUACUUUGGGAAGCCAUAGCAGGAGGAUCACUUGAACCCAGGAGUUUGAGACCAGCCUGGGCAACAUAGGAAGACCCCAACUCUACAAAAAAUUAAAAAAAAAAAAAAUUCCCGGCUACUGGGGAGGCUGAGGUGGGAGGGUCGUGUAAACCUGGGAGGUUGAAGCUGCAGUGAGCCGUGAUUGCACCACUGCACUCCAGCCUGGGUGACAGAGCCAGACCCUGUUUCAAAACAAAACAAAGCAAAAACCACACAUGUGAGGCCCAGAGCAGGGCUUCCUAAGUGGUGCCUAGGGAGGCAGCGUGGCUCUUGCUAUCACUCAUCCCUUUGAUCCAAAACCACUUCCUGCUUGUAAAAAAAUGCGAGUGUCACUUCUGUCUC